UUCGGAUCGGUUCGAAUCGAACCGAACUGAAAUAAACAAUUCGGUUUUAGCCCUAAAUAGCCCUACCUCACCCAGUCGCUCUUUCUCGCGCUCGCAUCUCCCUCUCCUCCUCGACGCUCCGCCUCCGAAAUUCGCGACUCCCCCUCCGGCUCCGCCGCCGCCGCCGCCUCCGACGGCCGCAGCUCCCGCCGGGAUCACGGGCCCGAGCCGGGCGUUUUCCUCGGCCGAUCCGCGCGACCGAGCCCUACCGAGACGAGAUCGCGACCGAGCCUCGCCACCGUCACCUUUUCCGUUCCUCGGUUCCCCGUCGUCGGCGGCGGCUCUUGGUGCAAGGGCACCGGCGGUAUCAUCCCCAUCACCGAAGGAUAUUCGACAAAGCUCCGAUUUUGCUGCACGAUUCCGAAGCUGAUUCGCGGCCGCGACAAACCCAGAGAGUUCCUGAGUGUUCUUCUUUGGGGUGAAAGGAGAUCACUGAGUUUUCAUGAAGUGUAUGUCGCAUUGUGUUGUUUACCAGGCAAUGGAUGUUUGUGGGCUUCCUGGAGCAUUGUAGGCGGGUUGCAUUCACAUCAAGGGCCCUUUGAGGAAGCAGAGUACAUAGUCUUGUGUAUACUGUCACUGUAUAUAUCUGAUGGACACAGAUAGAAGCAGCUGUUUCUUUCUUUUAUUCUGUGAAUGCAGACUAGUUCCAACACCAAUUUUUUUUACUCCUAUACCUUAUAUCAGAAGGACUUGUCUUUUAUCCGCUGUUAGUUUAUGAAA
Molecule: long non-coding RNA, 759 nt
Organism: Syzygium oleosum
Lineage: Eukaryota; Viridiplantae; Streptophyta; Magnoliopsida; Myrtales; Myrtaceae
Exons: 2
Source: RefSeq, a predicted model, not a curated record